This 217-nucleotide unclassified non-coding RNA is filed under the name Hevea brasiliensis (rubber tree). Lineage: Eukaryota; Viridiplantae; Streptophyta; Magnoliopsida; Malpighiales; Euphorbiaceae. The record is from RNAcentral.
GAUUUUGGCAUAGGACUUGACGUAAUUGAAUUCUAGAAAAACACUGAAGAAAAGAAAACUAUAAGGAUAUAAACUCUUAGUUCAUCAAUUAGGGUAUUAACUAUCAAAACUACCAUGAGUUGAGGGGUAAUAGGUUAUCAUGUCAUAAAGAGUGGAACUACAAUAGAAGAUGGUAACUGACUGAUGCAAUGUAUUCUUGUCUAUGCUCUAUAGGCAU